CGUGUAGGUGGGUGACCACGUCGGAUGCUGAAAUCCCUCGGCUCAACCGAGGAACGGGCACCGAUACGAGUCGCCUGGAGGGGGUAGGGGAGCUGGAACUUCCGGUGGAGCGGUGAAAUGCGUUGAGAUCGGAAGGAACGCCCGUGGCGAAAGCGAGCUCCUGGACCUUUUCUGACACUGAGACGCGAAAGCUAGGGGAGCGAACG
This 206-nucleotide ribosomal RNA is filed under the name uncultured bacterium. RNAcentral's name for it is "partial 16S ribosomal RNA". It matches the Rfam family "Bacterial small subunit ribosomal RNA", at positions 568 to 774 of the family's 1533-position model. The record is from RNAcentral.